RNAcentral lists this long non-coding RNA (389 nucleotides) under Nicotiana benthamiana. Its description in RNAcentral is "long non-coding RNA (NBEN_LNC002109)". The record is from RNAcentral. Lineage: Eukaryota; Viridiplantae; Streptophyta; Magnoliopsida; Solanales; Solanaceae.
AACUGGAGCAUGACACGAAUGAGCAAUUGAGGAGCAAACGUACUGAAAUUGAGCUUGGAAAUGAGAAAAUACAUGCUUUUAUGAGGAACAUUAAGGAACUACAAUCAUCCAACACUGAUAAGGAUAAUAUAAUUGCUACGUUAAGAACUGAAGUUGCCAAACUGGAAUCUGACCUCGUCAAAAAGAGUGAAGAUCUAUUCAAAUGUUCCAGAGAACUAGAGUUGCUAAAGAAGUCCGGAAGUGCCUUUGUCACUCCUGUGUUGGUUUGAUCCACAUCCACAUCAGGACCUCUGAAGCGCAGAAUGGAUUGGAAGACUGUAACUUGCAAGGAAGCUGCAAUCUUCGCAAGCUCUUGAAAAGGUAAUCUCGUCUUAAUUUUAGAAGAAACU